UUUUCUGAGGGUUUUGUUGACUAUUUCCCCUCUCCUCUCCGAUAGAGGUAAACUAAAUAAAAUUCGGUGGCGACUCUUUUGAUUUUGCCUCUCUUUGGCAUCUCUUUAGUCCCGAAUUCGUUAUCGUAAAAUCCCGGUAGCGACAGUGUUCUCCCUGUCAGAUCUUUAUUAUCUCCUUAUCCAGUAACGGGUAGGUGAUAAUAGAUUUCUGCUCCUCCUGUGUUGAAGUUUAUUUCUUCCCCAAUUGAGUUGAGUGCGCAUUUCCUUAGUGAAAUUGCUUUUCCUGCAUUGAUUCAAGUAUGUCAGUUUUAUCCUGAUCUACUCGUUUCCCCUGCAGAUGUUUU
This 344-nucleotide long non-coding RNA is filed under the name Lathyrus oleraceus (garden pea). Its description in RNAcentral is "Pisum sativum (pea) long non-coding RNA (PSAT_LNC028497)". Lineage: Eukaryota; Viridiplantae; Streptophyta; Magnoliopsida; Fabales; Fabaceae. The record is from RNAcentral.